AUCUACAGCCAUGCUACUCUGAACAAGCCCAAUCCCAUCUGAGCUCAGAAGCUAAGCAGGGUCGGGCCUGGUUAGUAUUUGGAUAGAGACCACCUAGGAAGACCAGGUGCUGUAAGCG
Molecule: ribosomal RNA, 118 nt
Filed under: Pteropus alecto (black flying fox)
Lineage: Eukaryota; Metazoa; Chordata; Mammalia; Chiroptera; Pteropodidae
Source: RNAcentral